RNAcentral lists this ribosomal RNA (470 nucleotides) under uncultured bacterium. RNAcentral describes it as "bacterial SSU rRNA". It matches the Rfam family "Bacterial small subunit ribosomal RNA", at positions 21 to 518 of the family's 1533-position model. The record is from RNAcentral.
GGUUCAGGAUGAACGCUGGCGGCGUGCCUAACACAUGCAAGUCGAGCGAUCUCUCGGAGAAGAGCGGCGGACGGGUGAGUAACGCGUGGGUAACCUGCCCUGUACGACACGGAUAACAUACCGAAAGGUAUGCUAAUACGGGAUAAUAUGUUUUGAUCGCAUGGUCGAAAUAUCAAAGCUCCGGCGGUACAGGAUGGACCCGCGUCUGAUUAGCUAGUUGGUGAGGUAAUGGCUCACCAAGGCGACGAUCAGUAGCCGACCUGAGGGGGUGAUCGGCCACAUUGGAACUGAGACACGGUCCAAACUCCUACGGGAGGCAGCAGUGGGGAAUAUUGCACAAUGGGCGAAAGCCUGAUGCAAGCAACGCCGCGUGAGCGAUGAAGGCCUUCGGGUCGUAAAGCUCUGUCCUCAAGGAAGAUAAUGACGGUACUUGAGGAGGAAGCCCCGGCUAACUACGUGCCAGCCGCUGC